AAGAUCAUGUUUCUUCUUCUCCCAAUCCCUUCAUCUGAACCGCCUAAGAACUCUAUGUUUCAAAAUCUCUAAAUGGUGAAACAUCAAUCUCCAAACCCAAAUCUGAUCAUCAAAACACUCGAUUUUACUCUAUUCAAUUCGUGUCAAACUUGAAAAACCUAAAUCGCGAUUAACAGUUGCUGUUCUUGAGAAGAAUUCUGACAAGAAGGGAAAAGUUUGAGGAGAAUCUAAUCAUCGAAAGCUAUUUAAAAGUUAUUUAGAUAACUUCAAUAGAGCCGAUGAAGUUGAUGUCUUGUAGCUUUUAUUGAAUUACAUCGAAGAUAAGUAUUCAUUCUCUUCUUUAAAUUUUUCGAUUGCUAUUCUCUUGCAAUUCUCAAUGAAACAGUAUGUCAGCCAUGAUGCUUAUGAUUUAUUUAUGAAACAUUUAAGUAAACUUUGAUCUUUAUUUGUGAGCUUAACAUUAAAAGGAUACAGAACUUAACACUAAAGAUUAAUUGCAGGAUCAUAUAACAAUGAUGUAAAUGGGAGAAGCAGCUGCUAUUUAGCGAACAUGGUAUAUAACUCUCAUUUUAAUCCUUAAUCCUGUGAGUCCUUGUUUUCUUUUUAUGUCAUUUGAAUUUUGUAUGUUGAAGUAUAUAUAGAUCACUGAUACUUAGCAAUCGUUAAUGUGGGUAAAGAUGUUUCUCGAGGCUUAGCUAUUCCGUUCUAGUGGUUACAGUCGCUAGAUAACUACCAUGUUUAUAGGUUGUUGUGUCCAUUUGAAACAACCAAUAGCGAUUUGUUUUUGAUGGACCCUCCACAUCUUCUGAAACCAUUUUCAAGUGUGUAACUUACUUGUAUUUUACAAUUGUAUAUUACUCUGUUUUACCUUUUCAAGUAAGUAACUUAUAUCUACUACAAGUAAAUCUUUUUGAAACUCUUCUCUAUAAUUGCAGUUUUUCUGAAAUUAAUCUCUAAAUUUGAAGAGCAUAUGUUAUUUAUCAGUUCACAUGUGACUCGAUUUCUAUCUCAUUAUCUUGCUGACAAUCUGAUAGAUAUUGGUAAUGAAGAAGUAAGGCUUGAAUGUAGGGGAAAAGAUAUUGGUUCUCGUAGAUGUGGUGGCAAGAAGCCUUAGAAGGGGCUUCUGGAAGGUUUCCUCAGUACUAUGAUGCAUAUCAUCAUGAGUUGAAAGUGCUCAUCUUGCUUUUUUUCAAAUCUGUGAAAUAUCAUGUUAUUUACAUUUGUUAUUCAGAAACUUUGGGUUUCCUGGAAUGAUCUUUGUAGACAAGUGAAAGAAUCUGUAAAAAAAUGUUUGUCCGAGGUUACCCAUUCCGCAACAAGGAUCUUGUUUGUUUCUCUGCUGCAUUCAGCUUGUUCGUAAUUUAAGCUGUUUUGACGAAAUUGGGUUUUCAGCCGAUAACUUGCAGGAGGUAGUACACUCACUAUCUUAUGUCUUGGUAUCCAGACAAAGAAUAGGGACAAGCCAUUUUAAAGUACUGAGUGAGUUUUCGCAGGAAUGCAUUGCAAGGUUGUGGAGGGGUACAAAUGCUGUUUUUUUAUGCAAUUCAUAUAUUUACUGAUGUCUGUCUGACUGGCCAACUGAGUCCAGUUUUCUUUUUUUUUGCUGAUGUCGCCUUUUGUAUGUUGUUUGGACAAAGAAUUCAUGAGAUUGAAUUUUACAAUAUAUGUCAAUCUAUUUGGAAGUUAAAAAGUUUUUGUA
Papaver somniferum (opium poppy) is the source of this 1699-nucleotide long non-coding RNA. RefSeq lists it as uncharacterized. The transcript is spliced from 3 exons. Lineage: Eukaryota; Viridiplantae; Streptophyta; Magnoliopsida; Ranunculales; Papaveraceae. The record is from RefSeq and is a predicted model, not a curated record.